This 209-nucleotide ribosomal RNA is filed under the name uncultured bacterium. RNAcentral's name for it is "partial 16S ribosomal RNA". It matches the Rfam family "Bacterial small subunit ribosomal RNA", at positions 1292 to 1500 of the family's 1533-position model. The record is from RNAcentral.
UUCGGAUUGUAGUCUACAACUCGACUGCAUGAAGCUGGAAUCGCUAGUAAUCGCGAAUCAGAAUGUCGCGGUGAAUACGUUCCCGGGUCUUGUACACACCGCCCGUCACACCAUGGGAGCCGACAACGCCCGAAGUCAGUGACCUAACCGAGAGGGAGGAGCUGCCGAAGGCGGGGUUGGUAACUGGGGUGAAGUCGUAACAAGGUAUC